This 253-nucleotide ribosomal RNA is filed under the name Lactobacillus sp. ZR-25. Its description in RNAcentral is "partial 16S ribosomal RNA". It matches the Rfam family "Bacterial small subunit ribosomal RNA", at positions 524 to 776 of the family's 1533-position model. RNAcentral also lists the same sequence under 1 other name. Lineage: Bacteria; Bacillati; Bacillota; Bacilli; Lactobacillales; Lactobacillaceae. The record is from RNAcentral.
UACGUAGGUGGCAAGCGUUGUCCGGAUUUAUUGGGCGUAAAGCGAACGCAGGCGGGAAGAUAAGUCAGCUGUGAAAGCCCCCAGCUUAACUGGGGAACUGCAGCUGAAACUAUGUUUCUUGAGUGCAGAAGAGGAGAGUGGAACUCCAUGUGUAGCGGUGGAAUGCGUAGAUAUAUGGAAGAACACCAGUGGCGAAGGCGGCUCUCUGGUCUGUAACUGACGCUGAGGUUCGAAAGCAUGGGUAGCGAACAGG